RNAcentral lists this unclassified non-coding RNA (508 nucleotides) under uncultured Glomus. RNAcentral's name for it is "SSU rRNA". It matches the Rfam family "Eukaryotic small subunit ribosomal RNA", at positions 569 to 1082 of the family's 1831-position model. The record is from RNAcentral. Lineage: Eukaryota; Fungi; Glomeromycota; Glomeromycetes; Glomerales; Glomeraceae.
AGCAGCCGCGGUAAUUCCAGCUCCAAUAGCGUAUAUUAAAGUUGUUGCAGUUAAAAGCUCGUAGUUGAAUUUCGGGGUUAGCAGGUCGGUCGUGCCAUCGGUAUGAACUGGUCUCGCUGAUCCCUCCCUCUUGACGAACUGUGAUGCCAUUAAUUUGGUGUCGCAGGGAAUCAGGACUGUUACUUUGAAAAAUUGAGUGUUUAAAGCAGGCUCACGCUUGAAUACAUUAGCAUGGAAUAAUGAAAUAGGACGUUUGAUCCUAUUUUGUUGGCUUCUAGGAUUGACGUAAUGAUUAAUAGGGAUAGUUGGGGGCAUUAGUAUUCAAUUGUCAGAGGUGAAAUUCUUGGAUUUAUUGAAGACUAACUACUGCGAAAGCAUUUGCCAAGGAUGUUUCAUUAAUCAAGAACGAAAGUUAGGGACCGAAGACGAUCAGAUACCGUCGUAGUCUUAACCAUAAACUAUAGCCGACUAGGGAUCGGAUGAUGUUAAUUUUUAAUGUACUCAUUCC